This 433-nucleotide ribosomal RNA is filed under the name uncultured bacterium. Its description in RNAcentral is "partial 16S ribosomal RNA". It matches the Rfam family "Bacterial small subunit ribosomal RNA", at positions 29 to 507 of the family's 1533-position model. The record is from RNAcentral.
AACGAACGCUGGCGGCAUGCCUAACACAUGCAAGUCGAACGAGACCUUCGGGUCUAGUGGCGCACGGGUGCGUAACGCGUGGGAAUCUGCCCUUGGGUUCGGAAUAACAGUUGGAAACGACUGCUAAUACCGGAUGAUGACGUAAGUCCAAAGAUUUAUCGCCCAAGGAUGAGCCCGCGUAGGAUUAGCUAGUUGGUGAGGUAAAGGCUCACCAAGGCGACGAUCCUUAGCUGGUCUGAGAGGAUGAUCAGCCACACUGGGACUGAGACACGGCCCAGACUCCUACGGGAGGCAGCAGUGGGGAAUAUUGGACAAUGGGCGAAAGCCUGAUCCAGCAAUGCCGCGUGAGUGAUGAAGGCCUUAGGGUUGUAAAGCUCUUUUACCCGGGAUGAUAAUAACAGUACCGGGAGAAUAAGCGCCGGCUAACUCCGUG